Molecule: long non-coding RNA, 1178 nt
Organism: Peromyscus californicus insignis
Lineage: Eukaryota; Metazoa; Chordata; Mammalia; Rodentia; Cricetidae
Exons: 3
Source: RefSeq, a predicted model, not a curated record
GCCGCCGCCAGGAAGCCGGUGGGGACUUUGGAAGCUGGAAGCUUACUGUUACCUGGUCUGUUCAGUCAGCUGCAGAGCCUCGUGCACAGCCUCGGGGAAGAUCCUCCGUGCCGUUGCCCUCUACAGCUAGUGAAAGCCUGAACUCUCUACUUGGCAGUGCCACUCAAAACAACCUGCUGCUUCCUUCAGGACUCCUCCCAAGGCAGAGAAAUUAGCCAAGCUACCUACCUGGGAGCAACUCCCUCCUACUCAUUGUCAGGCUUCCAGAAGAUGUGGCCCAGAGGUAAAGGUGUGUCCUCCCAAUUCAAGAUCUGGAUUAAAGAUGUGUGUCUUCCUACCUCAAAGGUCCUGACUAGAAGUCAAUUCACCCACUUCAGAGCAAGGGAAAAUCUCUCAUUGGUGUGCCCUCCACAUCUGGAUUGUAGUUCAUUCCCAAUGUAGUCAAGUUGACAGCCAAGAAUAACCAUCACAGCUGCUAAAAUAUUAAGUCAAGAGACAGAGGGAAGUGUGACGGCUCCUAACUGAGUGGAUAGAGGAUGAACAGAUGACAGUUGUCUUCCUGGUGAGGCCAAGAGGGCAUAGAAUGUGUGUGCCCUCCUUUGGCUCAGCCCAUCCUAAUGCAGAGAACCUAUAAUCCCAUAGCAGUUAAAUCAGCCUUUGUCCAGUGUCUAUAAAAAUGUAAGACAAACAAAACAAAAAACAAAAAUUCUUGGGUUUUUUCCCUUCUCUUAGGCACCCCUUCUCCUCUCAGGAGUUUCAAUUUUUCUCAAUUUUGCACUUUUCUGUAAUUCUUAUUAAUAAACCUUGCUUCUGUCUUGCUUAUUCCUAGAGUGUUCAUGUCUUUAAUCUUUGCUGGAGCCACUAUCCUAAGUCAGUCCUUGGUUUCUGUGUCUGACAUCCCAGAUCCUUGGAUUAAGCACAACUGGACCCAGAAAUGUUCUGUCUCACCCAAAAACCUUGUAUGACUUCUAAUACUUUGUGACUUUCUGUACACUGUGUGGAGGCAGAGACUGAGUUUAUCUUGUUUGCUCCUGCAUUUUAUAAGCCAGCACAAUGCCUGGCAUUUUGUGUGGAUUCAAUACAUAUCUGUUAAACACAUCACUAAAAUCCUAACCUCCAAGAUUUUGCCAAAACCUUUAUCAUUUAAUUUACUUUUUUGAUUUACUUAUAAAAACCUA